RNAcentral lists this ribosomal RNA (578 nucleotides) under uncultured Bacteroidota bacterium. Its description in RNAcentral is "bacterial SSU rRNA". It matches the Rfam family "Bacterial small subunit ribosomal RNA", at positions 338 to 916 of the family's 1533-position model. Lineage: Bacteria; Pseudomonadati; Bacteroidota. The record is from RNAcentral.
CCUACGGGAGGCAGCAGUGGGGAAUAUUGGGCAAUGGAUGCAAGUCUGACCCAGCCAUGCCGCGUGAAGGAAGAAGGUCCUCUGGAUUGUAAACUUCUUUUAUCGGGGAAGAAGAAACGCCUUGCGAGGUGAAGUGACGGUACCCGAUGAAUAAGCCACGGCUAACUACGUGCCAGCAGCCGCGGUAAUACGUAGGUGGCAAGCGUUGUCCGGAUUUAUUGGGUUUAAAGGGUGCGUAGGUGGUUUAAUAAGUCAGUGGUGAAAGCUGGUUGCUCAACAAUCAAGUUGCCAUUGAUACUGUUAGACUUGAGAGAAGUGGAGGCUGGUGGAAUGGAUGGUGUAGCGGUGAAAUGCAUAGAUAUCAUCCAGAACGUCAAUUGCGAAGGCAGCUGGCUGUACUUUUUCUGACACUGAGGCACGAAAGUGUGGGGAUCAAACAGGAUUAGAUACCCUGGUAGUCCACACUGUAAACGAUGCGAACUAGCUUUUUGGCUUUAGAGUUGAGAGGCUAAGGGAAACCGAUAAGUUCGCCACCUGGGGAGUACGCCGGCAACGGUGAAACUCAAAGGAAUUGACGG